AGCGAACGCUGGCGGCGUGCCUAACACAUGCAAGUCGAACGUGAAAAGGGAAACCUGAGUAAAGUGGCGUACGGGUGAGUAACGCGUAGGUAAUCUACCCCAGAAUCUGGAAUAACCUGCCGAAAGGCGGGCUAAUACUGGAUAGAGCGAGGGAACUCGUAAGAGAGUUUUUCGGGAAAGGGAGCCCGCAAGGGCCUUCGUUCUGGGAUGAGCCUGCGUCUCAUUAGCUAGUUGGUAAGGUAACGGCUUACCAAGGCGAUGAUGAGUAGCUGGUCUGAGGGGAUGAUCAGCCACACUGGAACUGAAACACGGUCCAGACUCCUACGGGAGGCAGCAGUGGGGAAUCUUGCGCAAUGGACGAAAGUCUGACGCAGCCACGCCGCGUGAGUGAAGAAGGCCUUCGGGUUGUAAAGCUCUGUCGGAUGGGACGAACAUCUUCAUAGUGAAUAGCUAUGAGGACUGACGGUACCAUCAAAGGAAGCACCGGCUAACUCCGUG
Molecule: ribosomal RNA, 498 nt
Filed under: uncultured bacterium
Lineage: Bacteria
Description: partial 16S ribosomal RNA
Rfam family: Bacterial small subunit ribosomal RNA
Source: RNAcentral